Molecule: long non-coding RNA, 2793 nt
Organism: Pseudopipra pipra
Lineage: Eukaryota; Metazoa; Chordata; Aves; Passeriformes; Pipridae
Exons: 2
Source: RefSeq, a predicted model, not a curated record
UUAUGACCUUGAAGAUACUCAUCACUUGGAAUGGAUUUGGACUUGAGAAGCUUUUAGUUCAAAUAGUCUUAUAGCCCAGGAACAAAAGGGAUGCUGAUAAGAAUGAUUAAUGAAUUCAGUGAAGAAGUUUUUAUGUAGUGAGAAAGGAAUGCUCUUAUCCCCCUCAGCCAGAUACUACUGAGUACCCCAGCUAAUUUUAACAGAAAUGUUUUUCUGAUUCCUGAGUUAGUUACACAUCCCUGAGAGCCUGUGCUCUUUGCAGUCAGCAAACAUCAUGUAAGCAACAUCAGGUUGGUUACUCUACUGACUGGAAAGGAGCUGUGCCCAUUUGCACCUGGGGGAAUCUGGCACAAUGUUCUUUGUGCCAGGGUUACCCCAUGGGAUGAAAUGUGCACUGCUGAACAGAGCACGUGGGAUUAAACUGGGAUUUCAUUAGUAGGGGAAAACCAGCAUUAUUUCCAAGCACAACCACUUAUGAGUUACCCAUGAUGAGAAGAAGGCAUAGCAUUUUCUGUGGGGAAAUAGAGAUGUACAGCUAUGAUUAAGCUUCAUGUUUGUUACUAUAAUGCAAAUCAUUGUGGUAAACUUUGGCUUGUGAUUGCUGUCCUAUUUCUAGCUAAAUUAAUUUGAUGUUUUAUUAAUUUAUCCAUAUGAGGAGAUCUAAAAACGCUGGCUGUUUGAACUCUGCUGCAUGGCUUUACUGCAAGUAACCUGCCUUCUUAAGCUGUAAAACUGAUGGCUGUCUCCUGCAAACCAGGACUGGGAUCUCCUGGAGUUUCCCCUACCCUGUACCCACAGGCUGGAAGGCAGACUGUGUUCCUGCCUGCUCAGAGCAAGCUGCCAGGUGCUCUCCAAGCACAUGUUCCCAGGGUAGCCAUGGCCGAGGCCGCAGGUUAUUAAGUAUGGUGAUUUACAAAAGGAUGGGCUUUUCCAUUUGGAUUCUACUAAGACUCAGAGAAACAACUUUGGCAAUGAAUUAAUGACACUUGACCCUUUGCAGGGAUGAACCCCAGCUCCUCCUCAACCUAAGCCAUGAUAGGGUCUGAAUGCGACAGCUACAGCCUGCAGUUCUGCUGAGAAGGGCUGACUGAUGAAGGGGUGACCAGGUGCUGCUGAAGACCAGCUCUGCAGGACUUACAUAUCUCUCUUGCCAUCAAGAUUGCCUGUGGGCAAGAGACUCUGUCCUGCCUGUCCAUGGCAAUGCUUCACACACAUCAGGAAUACACCUGCACUGCCAAGACACGCAGCCAUGGCCACAGUACAACCCAGAACUGGACACAGGGUGGAGAAUGCCCAUGCUAUAAAGCAGUGCUCUCCUUGAUUGGUAUGCAUGUUGCCAGUUGAAUCUGGCGAGAAUCUGCUGUGCUCCCAGGCAGGAAUCUACACCUCUCUCCCAGAACUGCACAGGGAUCCAGUGCAAAUAAUCUCACCUCAGCACAAAGAGGGACGUUUUUGUAAAACAAGAGCAGUAAAAUGCUCACAAAUCUUCUUAAAUGGUGAAUAAAGGACCAGAUCUAUUGAAAGAUUAAUGCAGCACUAUGGGAAAAACUGAAUGCUGGGGGCUGUAAUGGUUAAACAGUGUGAAAUAAAAUCCUGACAGGCCAUGGAAAGUGGACUGGGAAAGGGACUAUGAGGACAAGGAUGUGUGAGGACCCCCAGCUGUGAAGUACUGCUGCCCACUUUGGAGCCUGGAGAUGUCUUUCUUGGAACUUUGACCCCCAAGAAGAGGGAUGACUCAGCCAUUCCCUCUUUACUCUGGCCUGUGUGACAUCUCUUUUCUUCAAUUCUUAUUCUUUGGCCCUGGAGAAGAGGAGGUUAUUGGAAUGGAGAGCAAACUGCAAGGACUACCUAAAGCAGCAUUGGUGGAAUAGUGGGUUUGCCAGGUCAUUGUCAAAAAAACUUCUUCUGUCCCUGGUUUUCAGUGAGUGCUGGGUGUGCCCAUUUGUGCUCUGCUGUCACCUGUACUCCUCUGUGCUUUCAGGUUUCCCCCAAGGCUGCCCACAGCUGGGAAUGUGGGGCAAGACACAGGACUUGCUGCCCGAGCCCUGCAGAUGCCCACAGACUCCGUGCACAUUGCUCUGCAUGUCUAAAAGAAAGAUCAUGAGUUUGAAAACAAAAGCUGUUGAGCCUCAGAUUAGCAGCAAACCCAACUGCUCCUGCAACCUUCCGUACAGCACCAUCCAGUGACACCACCUGAAGCUGGAUUUCCACAGCCACAAGCCAGUCGGAGCAGGGUUACCUCCAGCUCUGUUCUCCACAGAGGUCUUUCCAGUUACACUGCCUCGAGUGUUUUGUAUGACAAGGCAGCAUGAACUAAAAAGAAAGCAAGGAAACACUGAGGUUUCCUCUCUCUUUCCCCCUUCCACUGACUGGAUUGGUGUGAACCUCCUGGAAACCAUACAGCCUUUGAGAGCAGCAGUAGGUUGGCCUCAAAAAGGACCACAAGUGUGGGCUGACCAUGGCUGAUUGCUGCAGCAUCUCUGAAUGUGCCCUUUCAGUGUGGAAGCAGCAGUGCAAAAGCUGGCUAUUGGGUUCUGUAACUUGCAGCAUUUGCUAUGGAAAAGAGAAGGAAAAGCCUAAGUAUUUUUUUUCUAAAUCUACUGCAUACACUGGCAAAGCUCUUCUCAUAAACCCCAUGGUAAAAAUUACUCAUUCCCACUUCUUCCUUGCAAAGAAAUAAUCUGAUUCUUGGCUAUUAACAUGUAACUCUCUUCUGCACAAAUUUGAAGCAACAAUGUGUCUACUUUUUGUUAACAAAUAUAAAACCUCAUUUUCAUUAAAAUCAAGACAAAA